CCUACGGGAGGCAGCAGUGGGGAAUCUUGCGCAAUGCGCGAAAGCGUGACGCAGCAACGCCGCGUGAGGGAAGACGGCCUUCGGGUUGUAAACCUCUUUCAGUUGGGACGAAGCCACGGCGGUUAAUACCCGUCUGUGGUGACGGUACCUUCAGAAGAAGCCCCGGCUAACUACGUGCCAGCAGCCGCGGUAAUACGUAGGGGGCAAGCGUUGUCCGGAAUCAUUGGGCGUAAAGCGCGUGUAGGCGGCUUGGUAAGUCCGCUCUGAAAGCCCGGGGCUCAACCCCGGGAGGCGGGUGGAUACUGUCAAGCUCGAGUCCGGAAGAGGCGAGUGGAAUUCCUGGUGUAGCGGUGAAAUGCGCAGAUAUCAGGAGGAACACCAAUGGCGAAGGCAGCUCGCUGGGACGUGACUGACGCUGAGACGCGAAAGCGUGGGGAGCAAACAGGAUUAGAUACCCUGGUAGUCCACGCCGUAAACGAUGGGCACUAGGUGUGGGGAGGUGUCGACUCCUCCGUCGCCGACGCGUACGCAUAGUCGCCCGCCGUCGGGAGGUACGGCCGGCGACGACGUAAACGUACGAAACGGAAGUAGUACGGCGUGAGACGUCGCCGACGGACGACGACGAGGGAGAGG
Molecule: ribosomal RNA, 633 nt
Filed under: uncultured bacterium
Lineage: Bacteria
Description: bacterial SSU rRNA
Rfam family: Bacterial small subunit ribosomal RNA (bases 1-543)
Source: RNAcentral